GAUGAACGCUGACAGAAUGCUUAACACAUGCAAGUCAACUUGAAUUUGGGUUUUUAACUUAGGUUUGGGUGGCGGACGGGUGAGUAACGCGUAAAGAACUUGCCUCACAGCUAGGGACAACAUUUGGAAACGAAUGCUAAUACCUGAUAUUAUGAUUAUAUGGCAUCGUAUAAUUAUGAAAGCUAAAAGCGCUGUGAGAGAGCUUUGCGUCCCAUUAGCUAGUUGGAGAGGUAACGGCUCACCAAGGCGAUGAUGGGUAGCCGGCCUGAGAGGGUGAUCGGCCACAAGGGGACUGAGACACGGCCCUUACUCCUACGGGAGGCAGCAGUGGGGAAUAUUGGACAAUGGACCGAGAGUCUGAUCCAGCAAUUCUGUGUGCACGAUGAAGUUUUUCGGAAUGUAAAGUGCUUUCAGUUGGGAAGAAAGAAAUGACGGUACCAACAGAAGAAGUGACGGCUAAAUACGUGCCAGCAGCCGCGGUAAGGA
This 486-nucleotide ribosomal RNA is filed under the name uncultured bacterium. Its description in RNAcentral is "bacterial SSU rRNA". It matches the Rfam family "Bacterial small subunit ribosomal RNA", at positions 28 to 525 of the family's 1533-position model. The record is from RNAcentral.